This 471-nucleotide ribosomal RNA is filed under the name uncultured bacterium. RNAcentral describes it as "partial 16S ribosomal RNA". It matches the Rfam family "Bacterial small subunit ribosomal RNA", at positions 28 to 507 of the family's 1533-position model. The record is from RNAcentral.
GACGAACGCUGGCGGCGUGCUUAACACAUGCAAGUCGAACGAUGACGCCUAGCUUGCUAGGUGUAUUAGUGGCGAACGGGUGAGUAAUACGUGAGUACCCUACCUUUAACUCUUUGAUAGGCCUUGAAAACUGGGUCUAUUACCUGAUACCACCAAUCUCCUCCUGGGGAGUUGGUGGAAAGCUCUAUGUUGGGGUUAUAGAUUGGCCCACGGCCUAUCAGCUUGUUGGUGGGGUAACGGCUCACCAAGGCGACGACGGGUAGGCGGCAUGAGAGGGUGAACGGCCACAAUGGGACUGAGACACGGACCAGACUCCUACGGGAGGCAGCAGGGGGGAAUAUUGCACAAUGGGCGCAAGCCUGAUGAAGCGACGCCGCGGGAGGGAUGACGGCCUUCGGGUUGUAAACAGCUGUUAGCAGGGAAGAAGAGAAAUUGACGGUACCUGAAGAGAAAGCGCCGGCUAACUACGUG